Molecule: ribosomal RNA, 460 nt
Filed under: uncultured bacterium
Lineage: Bacteria
Description: partial 16S ribosomal RNA
Rfam family: Bacterial small subunit ribosomal RNA
Source: RNAcentral
CCUACGGGUGGCAGCAGUGAGGAAUAUUGGUCAAUGGACGAGAGUCUGAACCAGCCAAGUAGCGUGAAGGAUGACUGCCCUAUGAGUUGUAAACUUCUUUUAUAUGGGAAUAAAAUGUUCCACGUGUGGGAUUUUGUAUGUACCAUUUGGAUAAGGAUCGGCUAACUCCGUGCCAGCAGCCGCGGUAAUACGGAGGAUCCGAGCGUUAUCCGGAUUUAUUGGGUUUAAAGGGAGCGUAGGUGGAUUGUUAAGUCAGUUGUGAAAGUUUGCGGCUCAACCGUAAAAUUGCAGUUGAAACUGGCAGUCUUGAGUACAGUAGAGGUGGGCGGAAUUCGUGGUGUAGCGGUGAAAUGCUUAGAUAUCACGAAGAAUUCUGAUUGCGAAGGCAGUUCACUGGACUGCAACUGACACUGAGGCUCGAAAGUGUGGGUAUCAAACAGGAUUAGAUACCCUAGUAGUC